RNAcentral lists this transfer RNA (73 nucleotides) under Dipodomys ordii (Ord's kangaroo rat). It matches the Rfam family "tRNA". From Rfam's summary of the family: Transfer RNA (tRNA) molecules are approximately 80 nucleotides in length. Their secondary structure includes four short double-helical elements and three loops (D, anti-codon, and T loops). The record is from Rfam by way of RNAcentral. Lineage: Eukaryota; Metazoa; Chordata; Mammalia; Rodentia; Heteromyidae.
AGAGGUGUAGCUCCAGUGGUAGAGCAUUUGCCUAGUGUGCAUAAGGCUCUGAAUUCAAACUUCAGUACCACUC